GCUUUUCAUUUUGUUGACGAAGCAAAGCACUCUAAACCUACAAUAUAUCUAAACAAGCAAAGCAGUCUCUCCAUUGAUUCUUUGAAUCCAUCUCCCAAACACCAAUCAAACUGAAUAAAUAUUAAAAUUCGUGUGUAAACACAGCAUCAAAAAGUGAUGGCUCCUCGCACUAAAAAGCCUAGAGCUCGAGAGGCUGGAGAGUCAUCAAAUCAAGAACAGCAAUAUCCAUCAAUUGACUUCCUUUCAUAGAACCAGGAAUUUGAAUUUGCCACUAUUUCUUCCUGUUCAAUCGUUAGUGGCCGAAGAGUCAACCUUGCCCCAAAAUAUGAUGCCCUGUUGAUGAACAAACUUGAAGCCAUGGGAUGGCAAAACUUGAUAAAUUUGCCUAAAAAGUGAAUUGCUUUCUAAAGAAUGGAAAGACUAUUUUUGGGAGUUCAUUGAGGUCUGGCAUCACAAUGAGGAUGCUGAUUCACAAACAGCCAAAGAUUGUUUAAAGAAAAUUGUUAAAUAUGGGCAAUCUUUAUUAAGUGAACCUCUAGCAUCACUUUUUGAAUUCUCUCUUACUCUGCGAUCAACAUCCCCAAGAUUAGUGCUGUACCGGCAAUUAGCAGUGGAGUCUCUUUCUUCUUUCCCCCUGUAUGAUGAUAUUAACUCUCAAUCUGUCAACGGAGGGAUUCCCGAAACAAAUGAAAACGUGGAAAGCAAGAAGGUUGAACCAUUGCUUGUUGGCAUGAACCCAAGAAGUCCUGGGGGGGAGUGUUGCUGGGUGGAUACUGGUGGGGCAUUCUUUUUUGAUGUUUCAGAGUUCCAAACAUGGCUUCAUAGCCCUAAGGAAUCGUAAGUCCUGUUCCACAUUUUUCAAAGUAGA
Camellia sinensis is the source of this 868-nucleotide non-coding RNA. NCBI's taxonomy places the organism in Eukaryota, Viridiplantae, Streptophyta, Magnoliopsida, Ericales, Theaceae. The record is from RefSeq and is a predicted model, not a curated record.